This is a long non-coding RNA of Suncus etruscus (white-toothed pygmy shrew), 395 nucleotides long. RefSeq lists it as uncharacterized. NCBI's taxonomy places the organism in Eukaryota, Metazoa, Chordata, Mammalia, Eulipotyphla, Soricidae. The transcript is spliced from 2 exons. The record is from RefSeq and is a predicted model, not a curated record.
CUGCAUAGUUCCUUCAGAUCUGAAUUAUAACCUAGCUGAUAGAGUAUUCUUGGUGAGGCGUUUAUUUUAUUGAGAUUUUGUAGUAAAUUCUUCCAUUUUAUUCUGGCUUGUCAUGUAUCUGUUGUAUAUAAGAUGGGCCUUUUUUUUUUUUUUAUCAGCACAGCAUUUUCAGUGAAAAUAGGUGACAUACCACUCAGAAAUAGGUUAUUCAUUGCAACUUUUGCCAUACAUAGAUGGAUUCAUGCAUACUGGCACAAAAUAAUCUCAAAGAUCAAUGUAAAAAACUAAAUGACAUAUGAUAAGUUGACUUCAUUUUUUUUUUUUGAGAAAGCAUGAUCUGAACAGAAUUGAAGUCAAAUAGCUUCCUGUAGAGAGUAACAAAACACAAGUUUUUU